Molecule: ribosomal RNA, 709 nt
Filed under: uncultured Bacteroidales bacterium
Lineage: Bacteria; Pseudomonadati; Bacteroidota; Bacteroidia; Bacteroidales
Description: bacterial SSU rRNA
Rfam family: Bacterial small subunit ribosomal RNA
Source: RNAcentral
UAGCAAUACAUUGGUGGCGACCGGCGCACGGGUGAGUAACGCGUAUGCAACCUACCUAUCAGAGGGGAAUAACCCGGCGAAAGUCGGACUAAUACCGCAUAAAACAGGGGUUCCACAUGGAAAUAUUUGUUAAAGAAUUAUCGCUGAUAGAUGGGCAUGCGUUCCAUUAGAUAGUUGGUGAGGUAACGGCUCACCAAGUCCACGAUGGAUAGGGGUUCUGAGAGGAAGGUCCCCCACACUGGUACUGAGACACGGACCAGACUCCUACGGGAGGCAGCAGUGAGGAAUAUUGGUCAAUGGGCGAGAGCCUGAACCAGCCAAGUCGCGUGAAGGAUGGAGGAUCUAUGGUUUGUAAACUUCUUUUAUAUGGGAAUAAAGUGAGGAACGUGUUCCUUUUUGUAUGUACCAUAUGAAUAAGCAUCGGCUAACUCCGUGCCAGCAGCCGCGGUAAUACGGAGGAUGCGAGCGUUAUCCGGAUUUAUUGGGUUUAAAGGGUGCGUAGGUGGUUAAUUAAGUCAGCGGUGAAAGUUUGUGGCUCAACCAUAAAAUUGCCGUUGAAACUGGUUGACUUGAGUAUAUUUGAGGUAGGCGGAAUGCGUGGUGUAGCGGUGAAAUGCAUAGAUAUCACGCAGAACUCCGAUUGCGAAGGCAGCUUACUAAACUAUAACUGACACUGAAGCACGAAAGCGUGGGGAUCAAACAGGAUUAG